RNAcentral lists this ribosomal RNA (468 nucleotides) under uncultured bacterium. RNAcentral describes it as "partial 16S ribosomal RNA". It matches the Rfam family "Bacterial small subunit ribosomal RNA", at positions 28 to 507 of the family's 1533-position model. The record is from RNAcentral.
GACGAACGCUGGCGGCGCGCCUAACACAUGCAAGUCGAACGGAGCUGAGAGAAGCUUGCUUUUCUUAGCUUAGUGGCGAACGGGUGAGUAACGCGUGAGUAACCUGCCCUGGAGUGGGGGACAACAGUUGGAAACGACUGCUAAUACCGCAUAAGCCCACGAUCCGGCAUCGGAUUGAGGGAAAAGGAUUUAUUCGCUUCAGGAUGGACUCGCGUCCAAUUAGCUAGUUGGUGAGGUAACGGCCCACCAAGGCGACGAUUGGUAGCCGGACUGAGAGGUUGAACGGCCACAUUGGGACUGAGCGACGGCCCAGACUCCUACGGGAGGCAGCAGUGGGGGAUAUUGCACAAUGGGGGAAACACUGAUGCAGCGACGCCGCGUGGAGGAAGAAGGUUUUCGGAUUGUAAACUCCUGUCGUUAGGGACGAUAAUGGCGGUACCUAACAAGAAAGCACCGGCUAACUACGUG